Molecule: small nuclear RNA, 107 nt
Organism: Rhinopithecus bieti (black snub-nosed monkey)
Lineage: Eukaryota; Metazoa; Chordata; Mammalia; Primates; Cercopithecidae
Source: Ensembl
GUACUCAUUUCGGCAGCACAUACACUAAAAUUGGAAUGAUACGGAGAAGUUUAGUAUGGCCCCUGCGCAAGCAUGACAUGCAAAUUCGUGAAGCAUUCCAUAUUUUU